Molecule: ribosomal RNA, 575 nt
Filed under: uncultured bacterium
Lineage: Bacteria
Description: bacterial SSU rRNA
Rfam family: Bacterial small subunit ribosomal RNA
Source: RNAcentral
GUCUGUCACGCUUCGCUUCAGGCUUUCACACCUGCAAGUCUAGGGGUCUCAUGGGGUUUGCUUGCAAACUCUGAUUGGCUACCGGCGCACGGGUGAAUUAACGCGUUAUCCAACCUUCCCCCUAGUUAGGGCAUUCGCCCGGCUAAAGUCGGAUUAAUACCCUAUGUUGUGUCAUGAGGACAUCUGAAUAACACUAAAGAAUUGAUCGCUAGGGGAUGGGGAUGCGUCCGAUUAGGCCGCAGGCGGGGUAACGGCCCACCUGGCCGACGAUCGGUAGGGGUUCUGAGAGGAAGGUCCCCCACACUGGUACUGAGACACGGACCAAACUCCUACGGGAGGCAGCAGUGAGGAAUAUUGGUCAAUGGGCGCGAGCCUGAAACAGCCAUGCGCGUGAAGGAUUAAGGCCCUAUGGGUCGUAAACUUCUUUUGACGGGGAGCAUAAGGGGCGUCGUGCACGUCNGAUGAGAGUACUCGUCGAAUAAGCAUCGGCUAACUCCGUGNCAGCAGCCGCGGUAUAACGGAGGAUGCAAACGUUAUCCGGAUUUAUGGGGUUUAAANGUUGCGUANGCUGACUU